Molecule: long non-coding RNA, 757 nt
Filed under: Piliocolobus tephrosceles (Ugandan red Colobus)
Lineage: Eukaryota; Metazoa; Chordata; Mammalia; Primates; Cercopithecidae
Description: lncRNA (ENSPTEG00000003360.1)
Source: RNAcentral
CAGAGCAGAAACCACCAGCCCACUGCGGCAGCAGAGGGGCCUAUGGCUGGGGCUGUGGGAACAGGGAAGUUGCACCCAGGGCCCCACCCACAGGCACCGUUGCUUACCCUGCCUGGUGCACGGGUCAGUGAAGGGAGUGGCUGCCCUUCUGCUCAGCCCGGUCUUGGUCCCAUUACUUUCUCCGUUUGUUCUGCUGAAGAGAGCCAGGAGGAAGUGAAGUGUCCCCUCCAAGGUCAAGGCAGCCUGCAAACCCCACCUGCCCGCUGAGCCCAUCGUUUCUUUGAUCACAAUGGGUUUCAAGCAGGAAGAUUGCCCUGUCCUGAGGACAGCACAGCCAGCUUCAUGGGCACUUGACAUGAAAACCUCCGGUGGCCUCAGUACCCAGCUUCCAGCUGUCUUGGCAGAUGUUCCGUCCACAAGUUCCAGGAAGUUCAGCAAUGCUUCUGCACUGGGUUCAGCCAGAGCUGACACGAUAAAACAGCAUGUGAGCAUCUCUGGAGUUGGUGUCCCCAGAGUCCGCCUCCUGGAUAUUGCCAGCUGCCUGGACCAACCUUUCCGAAAGAUCAGCCAGGUCACAGUGAGGGUCAAAGAAAUAAAGAAAGAAAAGGAAACCAGGAUUGUACCUGAGGUCAAGCAGGCAGGGCUCAACUCAGCACUGGGAAGAUUGCUAGAAGCCUGGGGCCUCUCUACAAGAACCGAACCCACAUGCGAUCUCCUCUGCAAGGUGGAGGCCACGCACCUGCCUUCUUGCUUCUGA